RNAcentral lists this ribosomal RNA (404 nucleotides) under uncultured bacterium. RNAcentral describes it as "partial 16S ribosomal RNA". It matches the Rfam family "Bacterial small subunit ribosomal RNA", at positions 29 to 526 of the family's 1533-position model. The record is from RNAcentral.
AUUGAACGCUGGCGGCAGGCCUAACACAUGCAAGUCGAGCGAGCGGCGGACGGGUGAGUAAUGCCUGGGAAUUGCACAGUCGAGGGGGAUAACAGUUGGAAACGACUGCUAAUACCGCAUACUAUUGGAUUGCGCAGGUGGGAUUAGCUAGUUGGUGGGGUAAUGGCUCACCAAGGCAACGGUCCCUAGCUGGUCUGAGAGGAGGAUCAGCCACACUGGAACUGAGACACGGUCCAGACUCCUACGGGAGGCAGCAUUGGGGAAUAUUGCACAAGGGGGGAAACCCGGAUGAAGACAGGCCGGGGGUGGGAAGAAGUCCUUCGGGUUGUAAAGCACUUUCAGCGAGGAGGCGUUACUCGCAGAAGAAGCACCGGCUAACUCCGUGCCAGCAGCCGCGGUAAUAC